This 1090-nucleotide long non-coding RNA is filed under the name Coturnix japonica (Japanese quail). RNAcentral's name for it is "lncRNA (ENSCJPG00005019883.1)". Lineage: Eukaryota; Metazoa; Chordata; Aves; Galliformes; Phasianidae. The record is from RNAcentral.
UUUCAACUUUUGUGAGCUUCUGUAUUGGGUGUUCUUUGGUACAUUACCAUCAGACAAAUUUGCCAAAGAUAUGGCAGAUAUAAGCUUAAUAACACCUAAAAUUUCGCUUUUUAAAUUUAAAAGUAGGCUGUUUAGCUGGUUAGUCUUUUAAAAAUGAAUUCAGGCUCCUGUCUUCUUAGGGACAACCUUUCUCAGUUCUUCACAGACUUGUCGCCUCUUAAUAAGUAAUGAGAAUUUGGGCAAACAGAACCCAAGACAUUCAGUAAUAGCUCGCUUCAGCACUUCUCUAUUAAAAUGCUCUCUUCUCUGGCCUGUUCCCAAAUGCCUGAAUCUCUCCCUCUCGGGCUCUACUGUCAAGUAUCUCCAGUUACUGCUAGAAAUUUGUGGCUCACUGUUAUUUUAAUAAAGAAAUUUUACUUAACAGACACUGGUGUUUCUCUUGGUCUUUUUUCUUCUCCUUAGGGUGGCUUAACAUGUUGCUCUACAGAAAAAAGAAAAGAAAAGAAAAGAAAAGAAAAGAAAAGAAAAGAAAAGAAAAGAAAAGAAAAGAAAAGAAAAGAAAAGAAAAGAAAAGAAAAGAAAAGAAGAGAAAAGGAGUAUGAUCUGUAGAAGGAUACAAAUACCUAUAAAGCAUAUAUUCAUGCUGUAAUACAGCACUUUGGGUAAAAUUCAGAGUAGUAAGAAGAAACUCUCAGUUUUAUAACUCUGGAACAAAGAUCUGAUUUUCUUCUUCAUGUCUGUAGCAGUACACUGGGUAGUCAUAGCGCUGCUCCUACAAAUACCACAGUACAAAAAGAAAUGUUCCUCUGGUGUGCCAGUAGUGCAGAAGAAAUGCGAAAGUCACCCGGCAAUUCACAACAACUUGUGGCUAAAAUUGGUUCCUUCUGUCAUUUGCGGACACUGGUCAAUAAACCUUCAAGGAUCCCUGACCCUUCAUGAUGAAAACAAAUGGAUGACCUCUAUUCUAAUUUUGUCUGGCCAUGAGGACAUACAUGAAACAAGAUAUGCAAACUUCAAGCUAUCGAGGCCCAUUGUUCCUGGGCCUGUGACCACUUGGCACUCACUGUUACGUAAAACCUCUCUGGAAUAG